AACGAACGCUGGCGGCAUGCCUAACACAUGCAAGUCGAACGAAGGCUUCGGCCUUAGUGGCGCACGGGUGCGUAACGCGUGGGAAUCUGCCCUUUGGUUCGGAAUAACAGCUGGAAACGGCUGCUAAUACCGGAUGAUGACGAAAGUCCAAAGAUUUAUCGCCAGAGGAUGAGCCCGCGUUGGAUUAGGUAGUUGGUGGGGUAAAGGCCUACCAAGCCGACGAUCCAUAGCUGGUCUGAGAGGAUGAUCAGCCACACUGGGACUGAGACACGGCCCAGACUCCUACGGGAGGCAGCAGUGGGGAAUAUUGGACCAUGGGCGCAAGCCUGAUCCAGCAAUGCCGCGUGAGUGAUGAAGGCCCUAGGGUUGUAAAGCUCUUUUACCCGGGAAGAUAAUGACUGUACCGGGAGAAUAAGCCCCGGCUAACUCCGUG
This 433-nucleotide ribosomal RNA is filed under the name uncultured bacterium. Its description in RNAcentral is "partial 16S ribosomal RNA". It matches the Rfam family "Bacterial small subunit ribosomal RNA", at positions 29 to 507 of the family's 1533-position model. The record is from RNAcentral.